Molecule: ribosomal RNA, 497 nt
Filed under: uncultured bacterium
Lineage: Bacteria
Description: partial 16S ribosomal RNA
Rfam family: Bacterial small subunit ribosomal RNA
Source: RNAcentral
GAUGAACGCUGGCGGCGUGCCUAAUACAUGCAAGUCGAGCGAACAGACGAGGAGCUUGCUCCUCGGACGUUAGCGGCGGACGGGUGAGUAACACGUGGAUAACCUACCUAUAAGACUGGGAUAACUUCGGGAAACCGGAGCUAAUACCGGAUAAUAUAUUGAACCGCAUGGUUCAAUAGUGAAAGACGGUUUUGCUGUCACUUAUAGAUGGAUCCGCGCCGCAUUAGCUAGUUGGUAAGGUAACGGCUUACCAAGGCAACGAUGCGUAGCCGACCUGAGAGGGUGAUCGGCCACACUGGAACUGAGACGCGGUCAAGACUCCUAAGGGAGGCAGCAGUAGGGAAUCUUCCGCAAUGGGCGAAAGCCUGACGGAGCAGCGCCGCGUGAGUGAUGAAGGUCUUGGGAUCGUAAAACUCUGUUAUUAGGGAAGAACAAAUGUGUAAGUAACUAUGCACGUCUUGACGGUACCUAAUCAGAAAGCCACGGCUAACUACGUG